Molecule: long non-coding RNA, 1244 nt
Filed under: Numida meleagris (helmeted guineafowl)
Lineage: Eukaryota; Metazoa; Chordata; Aves; Galliformes; Numididae
Description: lncRNA (ENSNMEG00000000936.1)
Source: RNAcentral
GCCCAUCUAUGGGGCAGGGAUGGGAACAGAGACGCGCUGUGCCCAUCUAUGGGGCAGGGGCAGGGACAGGGAGGUGCUGUACCCACUCUAUGGGGCAGGGAUGGGGACAGUGACGCAGUAUGUCCACUUAUGGGUCAGGGACAGGGACACAGUGUGCCCAUCUGUGGGGCAGGGACAGGGACAGGGAUGCGCUGUGCCCAUCUAUGGGGCAGGGACGGGGACAGAGAGGUGCUGUGCCCACUCUAUGGGGCAGGGAUGGGGACAGUGACGCACUAUGCCCACCUAUGGGGCAGGGACAGGGACGCAAUGUGCUCAUCUGUGGGGCAGGGAUGGGGACAGGGAGAUGCUGUGCCCACCUAUGGGGCAGGGACAGGGUCAGGGACGCAAUGUGCCCAUCUAUGGGGCAGGGACGGGGACAGGGAGGUGCUGUACCCACCUAUGGGGCAGGGACAGGGUCAGGGAUGCAAUGUGCCCAUCUAUGGGGCAGGAACGGGGACAGGGAGGUGCUGUACCCACUCUAUGGGGCAGGGAUGGGGACAGUGACGCACUAUGCCCACCUAUGGGGACAGGGACACAGUAUGCCCAUCUGUGGGGCAGGGACAGGGACACAAUGUGCCCAUCUAUGGGGCAGGGAUGGGGACAGAAAGGUGCUGUGCCCAUCUAUGGGGCAGGGACAGGGACACAGUGUGCCCAUCUAUGGGGCAGGGACGGGGACAGGGACACAGUGUGCCCACCUAUGGGGUAGGGAUGGGGACAGAGACGCACUGUGCCCAAUCUAUGGGGCAGGGAUGGGGACAGGGAGAUGCUGUGCCCAUUUAUGGGGCAGGAAUAGGGACGCACUGUGCUCACUCUAUGGGGCAGGGACAGGGACGGGGACACGCUGUGCCCAUCUAUGGGGCAGGGACAGGGUGCUGACGCGCUGUGUCCCCCCUGUGGGUCAGGAACGGGGACGCGGAGCUGUUCGUUAACACCAACCGGGCGCCCGCCAGCGGGGACAGCGAGGACGACGACAGCGGGGACACGGAGGACGAGGACAGCGGGGACAGCGGGGACACGGAGGACGGGGACAGCGGGGACACAGAAGAAGGGGACAGCGGGGACACGGAGGACGGGGACAGAGGGGACCCGGGGGGGGCCGACGCCGGCCAUGGCAGCGGGGACGCGGCGCUGCCCCGCUCCCAGUCGGGGACGUAGGGACGCGCGGUGCCCGCAAUAAAGGGCUCACGUCCGCCCCCGCCGCCCCA